This 524-nucleotide ribosomal RNA is filed under the name uncultured bacterium. RNAcentral describes it as "bacterial SSU rRNA". It matches the Rfam family "Bacterial small subunit ribosomal RNA", at positions 355 to 864 of the family's 1533-position model. The record is from RNAcentral.
UGAGGAAUCUUGCGCAAUGGGCGAAAGCCUGACGCAGCGACGCCGCGUGAGGGAUGAAGGCCUUCGGGUUGUAAACCUCUGUCAGGGGGGAAGAAUCCGGAGUCGGUGAAUACCCGACUCCACUGACGGUACCCCCAGAGGAAGCACCGGCUAACUCCGUGCCAGCAGCCGCGGUAAGACGGAGGGUGCAAACGUUGUUCGGAAUCACUGGGCGUAAAGGGCGCGUAGGCGGACUCGUAAGUCGGGAGUGAAAACUCGGGGCUCAACCCCGAGCCUGCUUCUGAAACUGCGAGUCUUGAGGACCGGAGAGGAAAGUGGAAUUCCUAGUGUAGCGGUGGAAUGCGUAGAUAUUAGGAAGAACACCAGUGGCGAAGGCGACUUUCUGGACGGUUCCUGACGCUGAGGCGCGAAAGCUAGGGGAGCGAAACAGGGAUUAGAUACCCUGGUAGUCCUAGCCGUAAACGAUGAGUGCUAGGUGGUGGUAGUUUCAACUACUUUCACCGUCCGCAGCCAACGCAUUAACG